GACGAACGCUGGCGGCGUGCUUAACACAUGCAAGUCGAACGGUGAAGCGCCUUCCUUUUUGGUGGGUGUGGAUGAGUGGCGAACGGGUGAGUAACACGUGAGUAACCUGCCCCCUUCUUCUGGAUAACCGCAUGAAAGUGUGGCUAAUACGGGAUAUUCUGGGUCUGUCGCAUGAUGGGUCUGGGAAAGAUAUUGUUUCGGUGGGGGAUGGGCUCGCGGCCUAUCAGCUUGUUGGUGGGGUGAUGGCCUACCAAGGCGGUGACGGGUAGCCGGCCUGAGAGGGUGGACGGUCACACUGGGACUGAGACACGGCCCAGACUCCUACGGGAGGCAGCAGGGGGGAAUAUUGCACAAUGGGCGCAAGCCUGAUGCAGCGACGCCGCGUGAGGGAUGGAGGCCUGCGGGUUGUGAACCUCUUUCGCCAGUGAAGCAGGCCUGCCUCGUUUGUGGGUGGGUUGACGGUAGCUGGAUAAGAAGCGCCGGCUAACUACGUG
Molecule: ribosomal RNA, 494 nt
Filed under: uncultured bacterium
Lineage: Bacteria
Description: partial 16S ribosomal RNA
Rfam family: Bacterial small subunit ribosomal RNA
Source: RNAcentral